Molecule: small nucleolar RNA, 107 nt
Filed under: Ricinus communis (castor bean)
Lineage: Eukaryota; Viridiplantae; Streptophyta; Magnoliopsida; Malpighiales; Euphorbiaceae
Description: Plant small nucleolar RNA R71
Rfam family: Plant small nucleolar RNA R71
About the family: R71 is a member of the C/D box family of snoRNAs containing the C (UGAUGA) and D (CUGA) box motifs. Multiple nearly identical copies of this snoRNA have been identified in Arabidopsis, and it is thought to function as a 2'-O-ribose methylation guide for 18S ribosomal RNA.
Source: Rfam by way of RNAcentral
AGACCAUGGUGUGGAUAGCAUCUCAACAAGUGCUUAUACCUCUCCAAGGCGUCGUACAUGCUCUCGUUGUCUACCUGCACAAAAGAAGAAAUGUCAUUUCUCAAUCU